RNAcentral lists this ribosomal RNA (486 nucleotides) under Triticum aestivum (bread wheat). Its description in RNAcentral is "partial small subunit ribosomal RNA". Lineage: Eukaryota; Viridiplantae; Streptophyta; Magnoliopsida; Poales; Poaceae. The record is from RNAcentral.
AUGGCCCCAGAGAUGGUUCGGGCUACACUUGUUAAAGACGUAGGCUAUGAUUCUGCUGUUGAUAUAUGGAGUCUUGGUUGCACCAUUAUCGAGAUGUUCAAUGGAAAACCUCCUUGGAGCGAUUAUGAACGGAUUGCUGCAGUGUUCAACGUUAUGAAUAAGGACCCACCACUUCCUGACAAUUUAUCACAUGAGGCAAAGGAUUUUCUGGAAUGCUGUUUCAAGAGGAAUCCAGCAGCGAGGCCGAGCGCAAGCGAGUUGUUGACCCAUCCAUUUAUCAGGGAUUCAAGUCAUUGCAGCAAGCAUGUUCAAGAAGUCAUUAUUGCAGGCUGUGAGGAAGUCAUUCGAGCAAGCUGUGACACAUCCUUGACAAGGAAAACUACAACUAGUGGAGCAAAUGAUGCUAGGCCUUCCGAAUCAUUAGCUUCACGAUUAACUUCACAACCAGUCCAGGUAGCCACACCUUAUUUCCCCCUAGAACUUUAG